GAUGAACGCUGGCGGCGUGCCUAAUACAUGCAAGUCGAGCGAAUGGAUUGAGAGCUUGCUCUUAUGAAGUUAGCGGCGGACGGGUGAGUAACACGUGGGUAACCUGCCCAUAAGACUGGGAUAACUCCGGGAAACCGGGGCCAAUACCGGAUAACAUUUUGAACCGCAUGGUUCGAAAUUGAAAGGCGGCUUCGGCUGUCACUUAUGGAUGGACCCGCGUCGCAUUAGCUAGUUGGUGAGGUAACGGCUCACCAAGGCAACGAUGCGUAGCCGACCUGAGAGGGUGACCGGCCACACUGGGACUGAGACACGGCCCAGACUCCUACGGGAGGCAGCAGUAGGGAAUCUUCCGCAAUGGACGAAAGUCUGACGGAGCAACGCCGCGUGAGUGAUGAAGGCUUUCGGGUCGUAAAACUCUGUUGUUAGGGAAGAACAAGUGCUAGUUGAAUAAGCUGGCACCUUGACGGUACCUAACCAGAAAGCCACGGCUAACUACGUGCCAGCCGCCGCAGUAA
This 515-nucleotide ribosomal RNA is filed under the name uncultured bacterium. RNAcentral describes it as "partial 16S ribosomal RNA". It matches the Rfam family "Bacterial small subunit ribosomal RNA", at positions 28 to 523 of the family's 1533-position model. The record is from RNAcentral.